RNAcentral lists this long non-coding RNA (24531 nucleotides) under Sorghum bicolor (sorghum). RNAcentral's name for it is "long non-coding RNA (SBIC_LNC007691)". The record is from RNAcentral. Lineage: Eukaryota; Viridiplantae; Streptophyta; Magnoliopsida; Poales; Poaceae.
CCUCCUCCUCCUCCUCCAAGGUACCAUCCCCCACCUUCCCCACCUUCCCCUCUGAAGCCACGGCCAAGCUUCGCAUCGGAAGGAAGUUGCUUAAGACACUUCCAUAUCCUAGAGCAGAGUCCCUCCCGAUGAGCCUCUAGACCCGCUCGCUGGAGACGAGCCUCCCCCUUGAAAGCCCAAGUUUGGUUUUGGUAAUUAAUGACACCAAGUUGCUAAUGCCUCGUGUUUAAGUGAUUUGAGUUAGGCAUAGCAACACAUGUGAUGAAGGUGCAUGGUGGCAUGGAAAGGUGGCCACAUGAUUACAAAGAGAUGAAGCAUGAUGUGGAGAUCAUGAUGAUAGACAAGGGAGAAAGUGAACAAGGCAAAGGUAUAAACAUAGGGUUUUGCUUUUGCUGGUCGAAGAUGAGUAGAGAAGUGUUUGACCGGGUUUAGGAUAGAUAGCCGACUAUCAAGAGGGGAAAUCACGGUCAUCUCUCGAAUCAAGUGCUACUAGGUCCAUAUCUUGAGCAUAUGCAUUAGGAUCUAGUAAAGUGCUAACUUAAUUUAUUUGGUGAAAAUGUUUGUGAAAAGCUAACACACAUGCACUUUGGUGGUAGACACUCGUUGGUGUUAGCACUUUUGCAAAGGAGGUGGAGUUCCUAGGGUUGAGAGGGGUGUGGGUUUCGGCGCUUUUGAGAAAAUUAAGUGUAUAUUUUCUAUUGCGCCGGUGGGAAAUUUGGAGAAGUAGCGGAAGUGUUUCUCAGUGGGAAACACUCACCGGACGCUCAGUGCGGAGGCACCGGACGCUGGCCCGAGCGUCCGGUGUGCUGUCAGAGCUUGACUCUGCUAGGGUUGAGCACCGGACGCACUCUGGUAGCGUCCGGUGGUUAGCGUCCGGUGUGAGGGGUUUUUGCAACCCUCUCUGCGCACGAGUCCGGUGAGCACCGGACCGUCCGGUGCCCAGCGUCCGGUGAGGUCGCGAGUUUGACAAACUCUCUGCGCAUGAGUCCGGUGAGCACCGGACGCGUCCGGUGUGGACUUGCAGAGCGUCCGGUGGUCCGCAGGUGACCGUUAGAAUCUGACACACGAGAUUCAAAGAGGACACGUGGCCUAUCCCUGAGCACCGGAUGCUGGGGGUCGAGCGUCCGGUGAUCACUUAGUAGCGUCCGGUGCCCCCGAUUUCAGCCCAGUGAAAGUGGCCAACGGCUAGUUUCUUUGAGGGGCUUAUAAAUAGUUGGUGGCCGGCUUUGGGGGGUUCUCUCUUGCAUUUUUGACUACUUGAGGCAUACUUUGAGCUAGAGAACACUCCCUCCACUCAUCUCCUUGCUUGAUUGCUAAUCCUAGUGAGAUUGAGUGAGAUUCAAGUGCAUUGCUUUGAGAGUUGCAUUUAGUGGCACUUGAUUCUUGAGUUUGCUGCGGAUUUCUUGUUACUCUUGGGUGUUUCCCGACGCCCUAGAUGGCUUGGAGCAGCGGUGGUGUUGAGCUCGUGAUUGGAGAUUGUUUCGAGCCUCACCAAGUGAUUUGUGAGGGGUUCUUGAGCCUUCCCCGCGGGAGAUCGCAAAUUGGUUACUCUAGUGGAUUGCUCGUGGCUUGGAGGAUCCCCAUCUUGUGAGUGGAUGUGCGGCACCCGCUGAGGGUUUGGCUUUGGAUUGCCAAUUAGCUCGUGAUCCAUCAAGUGGGUGUAUCGCCACAACGAGGAGUAGCUUGCCGGGAAGCAAGUGAACCUCGGUAAAAAAUCUUGUGUCAUCUCUUGCCGAGGUAUUUCUUGUAAUUGUGAGUGAUUGGUUGGAUAUAUCUCUACUCUACAACGUUGGUAUAACAAUCACUCUCCACUCCUUUACUUACUUGUUUAUCUUGCUAGUUGUUUAGCUUGUUUAGUUUAGUCUUCUUGUUUAGGAGUGUAGCAAGUUUGUAGUUGUGCUUUCUUGUUGUAACUUGUAUUUAGCUUUCUUGCUAGACUUGUGUAGGUGGCUUGCAUAGCUUAGUUGUGCUAGUGCUAGAAUAGCGUCGCCUUUUGUUUUACUAAUCAACUUGUCUAGUUGAAGUUUGUAGAAAUUUUAAAUAGGCUAUUCACCCCCCCUCUAGCCAUUUGGACCUUUCAAGUGGUAUCGGAGUCGAGGCACCGUUUAUUUGAGGCUUAACAACCUACGGUGAAGAAAUGGCUCUUAGUUUGCAUAUCAACAACACUAAGAAGGCACCUUACUUUGAUGGCACCAAUUAUGCUUAUUGGAAGGUCAAGAUGACCGCCCAUCUCAAGUCAAUCAAUAGAGAAGUUUGGAAGGUGACCGAAACAAAGUUUGAGGUUGCAAAUGAGAAUGCACCUACACCAGUUAAAGAAAAGAAGCUUCAAUGCAAUGACAUUGCAAUUAGUGCUCUUCAUGAAGCUCUUGAUGACAAGACCUUUGAGCAAAUCAAGAACAUUGAGGUUGCUCAUGAUGCAUGGCAAAAAUUAGAAGAAACAUUUGAAGGCACCAAAGGUACGAAGACCGCAAAAGCUUACAUCCUCCAAGAGAAGUUCUCAAGCUUCAAGAUGCAAGAAGACGAAAGUGUGCCGGAGAUGUUUCACCGGUUGCAAGUUAUUGUGAAUGAGCUCAAGGCACUUGGGGAAGAAGUAAAGGAUAGUCAAUUCUCUAUGAAGUUCUUGAGAAGCUUGCCCAAGAGAUUUGACACAUUGAUCACCGUGCUAGUCAAGACAACACUUAGUGAAUCAACUCCCCAACAAGUCUUCCAAGAAGUGAUGACCGAUGAUGCUUAUAGAGAAGAUGAUGAGAAGGAUGAGUUGAUCAAGAAGAAGAAGAAGGAUGGUGAGAAGAAAGAUGAUGAGAAGAAGAAAAGUGUGGCAUUCAAGGCCUCCACAUCCAAGGGCAAAGCCAAGCAAGAAUCAUCAAGUGAAGAAGAAGCAAGCUCUUGUGAUAGUGAUGAAGAUGAGGAGAUGGCUCUUCUUGUCAAGAGAUUUGGCAAGUUUAUGAAGAAGAAGGGCUAUCGGGCAAGAAGGAAGAAGAGCUCCUCCAAGAAGAAUGACCACUCCAUGAGGUGCUUUAGAUGCCAUAGCAAGGAUCAUCUCAUCGCCAAGUGUCCUUAUGAUAGUGAUGAUGAAGAUGCUAUCAAGAAGGAAAGAAAGAAGCAAAAGAAGAAGCAAGAAAAGAAGGAAGGCUCAAACAAGAAGAAGGGUGAUGCCCAUGUUGCAACUUGGGAUAGUGAUGACUCCUCAAGUGAUGAUGAGAGCACCAAGAAGAAGGCGCAUGCUAGCAUUGCAAUUCAAGGAAAAAGCUCCAUCUUCGACACUCCGUCAUGCUUCAUGGCUAAGGCCACUAAGGUAUCAUCCGAUGAUGAGAGUGACCAUGAUAGUGAUAGUGAUAGUGAUGAUGAUGAACCAACUAAAGAUGAACUAAUCACUAUGCUAGAAGAUCGCACUCAUCACUAUAAAGAAACUAGAAAGGAGUGCAAGGCCUUGCUUAAGGAUAAGAAAACCCUUGAGCAAGAACUUGAUGAGCUUAGAGCAUCUUAUGAGAGUCUAAAGGAAGACCAUAAGAAGCUUCAAAAGGCUCACACUAAGCUUGAAGAAGCUCAUUCCUCUCUAGUUAACAAGUGUAAAAAUGAGCCAACUAAAAUUGAAAAAGCUCAAACUUGCAACAUAGGCAUAACGUGUGAUAUCUUGAGUAAGCCUAUUGUUAUUGCUUCUACUAACCCUUCAUGUAGCACAUCUACAUCAUCCUCAUCUAGUAGUGAUGGUUUCACAUGUGACACCACACUAAAAGUUGAGAAUGAAAUUCUCAAAAAGGAGGUGAAGGAACUCAAUCACACCUUAGCCAAGGCUUAUGGUGGUGAGGACCGCUUGCUUAUGUGCUUGGGUAGCCAAAGAGCUUCUCUCUACAAAGAGGGAUUGGGCUAUAACCCUAAGAAAGGCAAAGCCGCCUUUGCUCCUCACAAGACUAAUUUUGUGAAGAACAAUGGCCGGUAUUGCAAAGCUUGCAAGCAAGUUGGUCACUUAGAGCAACAAUGCAUGAACAAGAAACCCAAAGCUCAUGUAUCCUCAAUUAAGCUAAAUUCUUUCUAUGUGCUUACCAAGGAUACAAAAGGUGUUCAUGCUAAGUUCAUUGGUGCACCAUGGAUGGGCUCAAAGAAGAAAGCCAUUUGGGUACCAAAGAGCUUAGUUGCUAACCUUGGAGGACCCAAUCAAGUUUGGGUACCUAAAAAGAAUUGAUCUUGUCUUGUAGGUCAAUUACAAAGCCGGAGGAAGGCAUUGGGUGCUUGAUAGUGGGUGCACUCAACAUAUGACCGGGGAGUCUUGUAUGUUCAAAUCAAUUGAUACUAGUCAAAAUGGUGGCUUUGAUUCAAUUACCUUCGGCAACAACAAGAAAGGCAAGGUCAAGGGGCUUGGUAAAAUUGCUAUCUCAAAUGACAUGAGCAUAUCAAAUGUGUUGCUAGUUGAAAGCCUUGAUUUCAAUCUCUUGUCAAUUGCACAACUUUGUGAUCUUGGUUUCAAGUGCAUCUUUGGUAGUGAUGAUGUUGAGGUGGUUAGUGUUGAUGGAUCAAACUUGAUAUUCAAAGGAUUUAGGCAUGGUAGCUUAUACUUGGUUGAUUUCAAUGAUAGUGACACUCAAUUGACAUCAUGCCUAAUUAGCAAAUCAAGUUUGGGUUGGUUGUGGCAUAGAAGGCUUGGUCAUGUUGGAAUGAAACAAUUGAACAAACUAUUGAGGCAUGACUUAGUUAGAGGCUUGAAGGAUGUCACCUUUGAGAAGGAUAAACCUUGUAGUGCUUGUCAAGCCGGAAAGCAAGUUGGAAAUGCACAUCCUAAGAAAAGUGAAAUGAGCACAUCAAAGGCAUUUGAGCUUUUGCACAUGGAUUUAUUUGGGCCAACAACAUAUACUAGCAUUGGUGGCAACAAGUAUGGAUUUGUGAUAGUAGAUGACUACACUAGAUACACUUGGGUGUUCUUCCUCUAUGACAAGAGUGAUGUUUGUGAUCUAUUCAAGUCUUUUGUCAAGAGGGUGCAAAAUGAGUUUGAAACCACUAUCAAGAAGAUUAGAAGUGACAAUGGUAGUGAAUUCAAGAACACAAGAAUUGAGGAAUUGUGUGAUGAUCUUGGCAUUGGACAUCAAUUCUCUCCAACAUACACUCCUCAAUCCAAUGGCGUAGUUGAAAGGAAAAAUAGAACCUUGAUUGACAUGGCUAGAUCAAUGCUUAGUGAAUACAAUGUUAGCCAUUCAUUUUGGAGUGAAGCUAUCAACACGGCUUGCUAUUGUAGCAACCGUCUCUAUUGCCAUGGAAAGCUUGGGAAGACACCAUAUGAGCUAUUGAAUAGAAGAAAGCCCAACAUUGCAUACUUUAGAGUGUUUGGUUCCAAAUGCUACAUUCUCAAGAAAGGCACUAGAUUGAGCAAGUUUGAUAAGAAAUGUGAUGAAGGGUUCUUACUUGGUUAUUCCACGACAAGCAAGGCAUAUAGAGUUUGGAACUUGGCAAGUGGCACAUUGGAAGAAGUCCAUGAUGUUGAGUUUGAUGAAACCGAGGGAUCUCAAAAUGAAGCUCAAAAUACUGAUGAUGUGAGAGGAGAUCAAUUGGCAAAUGCAAUGAAGAACAUGGAUGUUGGUGACAUAAGGCCAAGGCAAGUUGAUGAUGAUAGUAAUAUUCACAUGAUCAAUCAAGAAGUGCAAAUUGAUACAAAUCAAGCAAGUACUUGUGGCUCUCAUGAUGAUGAUCAAAAUCAAAAUCAAGCUAGUGGAAGCAAUCAACUCCCAAUACUCCAACCUACAAGCAUAGCAAGAGAUCAUCCAUUAGAUCAAGUCAUUGGUGGUAUUCAAAGUGGUGUUCAAACAAGAUCAAGACUAGCAUCCUUUUGUGAGCACUACUCAUUUGUCUCAUUUGAAGAACCAAAGAAAAUAGAAGAUGCAUUGAAGGAUUCCGAUUGGGUAAAUGCCAUGCAUGAAGAAUUGAACAACUUCACAAGAAAUCAAGUGUGGGAGCUUGUUGAGAGGCCAAAGAACUACAAUGUGAUUGGUACCAAGUGGGUCUUUAGAAACAAGCAAGAUCAAGAUGGUGUGGUUGUGAGAAACAAAGCAAGAUUAGUAGCACAAGGCUACACUCAAGUUGAAGGUCUUGACUUUGGAGAAACAUAUGCACCAGUUGCAAGAUUGGAGGCAAUUAGAAUAUUAUUAGCCUAUGCUUGUGCCCACAACAUCAAGCUCUAUCAAAUGGAUGUGAAGAGUGCAUUUCUCAAUGGAUACAUCAAUGAGUUGGUUUAUGUUGAACAACCUCCCGGUUUUGAAGAUGACAAGAAACCCAACCAUGUGUACAAGCUCAAGAAGGCAUUGUAUGGUUUGAAGCAAGCACCUAGAGCAUGGUAUGAGAGAUUGAGAGAUUUCCUUCUCUCUAAAGGGUUCAAGAUGGGAAAGGUUGACACUACCCUCUUCACCAAGAAGCUAGGCAAUGACUUGUUUGUGUUGCAAAUCUAUGUUGAUGAUAUCAUCUUUGGUUCAACCAAUCAAGACUUUUGUGAAGAGUUUGGAAGAAUGAUGGCUAAUGAGUUUGAGAUGUCUAUGAUUGGAGAGCUUAGUUACUUCCUUGGUCUUCAAAUCAAGCAAAUGAAGAAUGGCACUUUUGUAAGUCAAGGAAAGUACAUCAAGGACAUGAUCAAGAAGUUUGGGUUGCAAGAAGCCAAACCAAUGAGCACACCUAUGGGCACAAAUGAUCAAUUAGGUAGUGAUGCAAGUGGCAACAUGGUAGAUCAAAAGCUAUACCGGUCCAUGAUUGGAAGUUUGCUCUAUGUCACUGCAUCAAGGCCGGAUGUAAUGUUUAGUGUGUGCAAAUGUGCAAGAUACCAAGCUUCACCUAGAGAGAGUCACUUGAAGGGAACCAAAAGAAUAUUGAGGUAUCUAAAGGGCACUCAUGAUGUUGGAUUAUGGUAUCCCAAGGGGUCUAACUUUGAGUUGAUUGGAUAUUCGGACUCCGACUAUGGUGGAUGCAAGAUUGAUAGAAUGAGCACAAGUGGCACUUGUCAAUUGCUAGGAAGGUCUCUAGUUUCAUGGUCAUCAAAGAAACAAAAUAGUGUUGCACUAUCAACCGCCGAGGCCGAAUACAUUAGUGCCGGUAGUUGUUGUGCACAAUUGCUUUGGAUGAAAGCUACCUUGAAUGACUUUGGAAUCAAAUUCAAGAAUGUGCCUUUGCUAUGUGACAAUGAGAGUGCAAUCAAGAUGACACAAAAUCCGGUUCAACAUUCAAGAACCAAGCACAUUGACAUAAGGCACCAUUUCAUAAGAGACCAUCAACAAAAGGGUGAUAUUAGCAUUGAAAGCAUUGGCACCGAAGAUCAACUAGCCGACAUCUUCACCAAGCCACUUGAUGAGAAGAGAUUUUGCAAGUUGAGUAAUGAGUUGAACAUACUUGACUUCUCCAACUUGAGAUGAGUGCACCCCCACAUUUCUAUAUGACAUGCCUCUCCUCCAACAAAGCAAGGUAAAGUUGAUUGACAUAGCAUUCAUAUUUUGCUAAGGACAUGAUUAGAACAUAUAGACAUGUUUGCAUGACAAAUAGGCUAAUUCAUGAAAAUCAAAAGAUUUUGAUGUAUGUAUGGUACCACUAUUGCUUCUAUGUUUGAUUGAUCUAGUGGUAGCAUAUGACAUGUUUGUGAUCCUGUAAGCCUAGUGUUGGAUCUAGAAUAUGAGCUUAAGAUGUGUAAUUCAACAUGGUCAAGAUAACCCUUAUACUUUAUGAGGUGUGAAAAGCUUGUCCUUGGAUCAAACUGAAUUACAUACUCUAGGCAAGUGAUCUAGAUUGAACCAUAAUUUGACCCUCACAUUGAUUGACUUAAUUCUCACUAAAAUUUUGAACCUUUGUGGUCAUUGAUGACAAAGGGGGAGAGAAACAAAGAUAAAGUCAAAAAGGGGAAGAGAAACAAAGAUAGGAAGAGAAAACACCUUUAAACUUGAGCACACAAAUAGGGGGAGCAAGCUCAUGAACCAUUUGCUGCAUUUGUAUGUGCACUAACAUAAUGAGUUGUUGCAAGUUUAAAUUCACAACUCUUGUUUGAUUGGUGUUUGCUAGAAAUAGAACUUGAAUGAUGCUUUGAUUUCUAGCAUAGAGUUUUAUUUUCUUGUGGUAUCCAGACAUAUAAUGUGAUCUCACGAGGUAUCUUGAGUUUUUGAUGUAUGUCUAGCUACAUUGGUACUAAGGAUGGUAUAUUGGCAACUCCGAUUGGUAUCACGCUUCAAAGGUCCAUUCUAUAUACCUUAGCAUAAUUUUGGUAGUAAUAAAUCUCCCAAAACUCUAAUUUAUGCAUAUUUGCAAACUUGAACCAAACUCAUGGAAGCACAUAUGUAGGGGGAGCUAAUACUACCAAAACCGAAAUUGAAAUGUUUGUCCAACCUUGUCUCAUGGUUAAAAUGCUUUGGACAAGCAAUUCAAGUUCAUUAUGAUUUCAUUUCAUAUCUUUGUGAUGGUGUAAGGUCCAAAUGGCUAGAGAGGGGGGUGAAUAGCCUAUUUAAAAUUUCUACAAACUUCACUAAGCAAGUGAGUUAGUAAAACAAAAGGCGAAGCUAUUCUAGCACUAGCACAACUAAGCUAUGCAAGCCACCUACACAAGUCUAGCAAGAAAGCUAAGCUAAACAAGCUACACAACUAGCAAGGUAUACACAAAGGUAAAGGAGAGGGGAGUGAUUAUUAUACUGAUGUUGUAGAGUAGAAAUAUAUCCAAUCAAUCACUCACAAUCACAAGAGAAUCCUCGGUAAGAGAUGACACAAGAUUUUUUACCGAGGUUCACUUGCUUCCCGGCAGGCUACUCCUCGUUGUGGCGAUACACCCACUUGAUGGAUCACGAGCUAAUUGGUAAUCCAAAGCCAAACCCUCAGCGGGUGCCGCACAUCCACUCACAAGAUGGGGAUCCUCCAAGCCACGAGCAAUCCACUAGAGUAGCCAAUUGCGAUCUCCCGCGGGGAAGGCUCAAGAACCCCUCACAAAUCACUUGGUGAGGCUCGAAACAAUCUCCAAUCACGAGCUCAACACCACCGCUGCUCCAAGCCGUCUAGGGCGUCGGGAAACACCCAAGAGUAACAAGAAAUCCGCAGCAAACUCAAGAAUCAAGUGCCACUAAAUGCAACUCUCAAAGCAAUGCACUUGAAUCUCACUCAAUCUCACUAGGAUGAGCAAUCAAGCAAGGAGAUGAGUGGAGGGAGUAUUCUCUAGCUCAAUGUAUGUCUCAAGUAAUCAAAUGUGCAAGAACUAACCUCCCAAAGCCGGCCACCUUCUAUUUAUAAGCCCCUCAAAGAAACUAGCCGUUGGCUGUUUUCACUGGGCUGAAAACGGGGGCACCGGACGCUACUAAGUGAGCACCGGACGCUCGACUCCCUGCGUCCGGUGCACUGGAGUUGACCACGUGUCCUCUUUGAAUCUCGCGUGUCAGAUCCUAACGGCUACCUGCAACACACCGGACGCUCUGCAAGUCCACACCGGACAGUCCGGUGCUCACCGGACUCAUGCGCAGAGAGGGUGUCAAACUCGCGACCUCACCGGACGCUGGGCACCGGACGGUCCGGUGCUCACCGGACUCGUGCGCAGAGAGGGUUGCAAAAACUCCUCACACCGGACGCUAACCACCGGACGCUCUCAGAGUGCGUCCGGUGCUCAACCCUAGCAGGGUCAAGCACACCGGACGCUGAGGCCAGCGUCCGGUGCCUCCGCACUCAGCGUUCGGUGAGUGUUUCUCAGUGAGAAAACACUCCCGCGACUUCUCAAAAAUUUCCCACCGGCGCAAUAGAAAAUAUACACUUAUUUUUCUCAAAAGUGCCGAAUCCCAAACCCCUCUCAACCCUAGGAACUCCACCUCCUUUGCAAAUGUGCUAACACCAACAAGUGUCCACCACCAAAGUGCAAGUGUGUUAGCUUUUCACAAACAUUUUCGCCAAAGGAGUUAAGUUAGCACUUUACUAGAUCCUAAUGCAUAUGCUCAAGAUAUGAACCUAGUAGCACUUGAUUCGAGAGAUGACCGUGAUUUCCCCUCUUGAUAGUCGGCUAUCUAUCCUAAACCCGGUCAAUCACUUCUCUACUCAUCUUAGACCGGCAAAAGUAAAACCCUAUUUUUAUACCUUUGCCUUGAUAACUUUGCUCCUCGUCUAUCACCAUGAUCUCCACUUCAUGCUUCAUCCCUUUGUGAUCAUGUGGCCAUCUUUCCAUGCCACCAUGCUCCUUCAUCACAUGUGUUGCUAUGCCUAACUCAAGUCACUUAAACAAAAGGCAUUAGCAACUUGGUGUCAUUAAUUACCAAAACCAAACUUGGGCUUUCAAUCUCCCCCUUUUUGGUAAUUGAUGACAACCAUCACAAAGAUAUGAAAUGAAAUCAUAAUGAACUUGAAUUGCUUGUCCAAAGCAUUUUUAUCAUGAGACAAGGUUGGACAAACAUUUCAAAUUCGGUUUUGGUAGUACUAGCUCCCCCUACAUAUGUGCUUCCAUGAGUUUGGUUCAAGUUUGCACAUAUGCAUGAAAUGGAAUUUUGGGAGAUUUAUUACUUCCAAAAUGAUGCUAAGGUAUAUAGAAUGGACCUUUGAAGCGUGAUACCAAUCGGAGUUGCCAAUAUACCAUCCUUAGCACCAAUGUGGCUAGACAUACACCAAAAACUCAAGAUACCUCGUGAGAUCACAAUAAAUGUCUAGAUACCAUAAGAAAUAAAACUUUAUGCUAGAAUUCAAAGCAUCAUUCAUGUUCUAUUUCUAGCAAACACCAAUCAAACAAGAAUAGUGAAUUUAACCUUGCAAUGCAACACAACACUAUGUUAGUGCACAUUCAAAUGCAACAAGUGGUUCAUGAGCUUCCUCCCCCUAUUUGUGUGCUCAAGUUUUGAUUUAUCCAUUUCAAUUUUCAAAGGUUAUGUCUCCCCCUUUAGCAUCUCCGCCUUUAGCACUUUUCUCCCCCUUAAUGACUUUAUCUUUGUUUCUCUCCCCCUUUGUCAUCAAUGACCACAAAGGUUCAAAUUUUAGUGAGAAUUAAGUCAAUCAAUGUGAGGGUCAAAUUAUGGUUCAAUCUAAAACACUUGCCUAAAACAUGUAAUUCGGUUUGAUCCAAGGACAAGCUUUUUCACACCUCAUAAAGUAUAAGGGUUAUCUUGACCAUGUUGAAUUACACAUCAUAAGCUCAUAUUCUAGAUUCAACACUAGGCUCACAAGCUCACAAAUAUGUCAUAUGCUACCACUAGAUCAAUCAAACAUAGAAGCAAUAGUGGUACCAUACAUACAUCAAAAUCUUUUGAUUUUCAUGAAUGAGCCUAUUGUCAUGCAAACAUGUCUAUAUGUUCUAAUCAUGUCCUUAUCAAGUAUGAAUGCUAUGUCAACCAACUUUACCUUGCAUUAUUGGAGGAGAGGCAUGUCAUGUAUAAAUGUGGGGGUGCACUCAUCUCAAGUUGGAGAAGUCAAGUAUGUUCAAUUCAUUUCUCAGCUUGCAAAAUCUCUUCUCAUCAAGUGGCUUUGUGAAGAUGUUGGCUAGUUGAUCUUCGGUGCCAAUGCUUUCAAUGCUAAUAUCACCCUUUUGUUGAUGGUCUCUUAUGAAAUGGUGCCUUAUGUCAAUGUGCUUGGUUCUUGAAUGAUGAACCGGAUUUUGUGUCAUCUUGAUUGCACUUUCAUUGUCACAUAGCAAAGGCACAUUCUUGAAUUUGAUUCCAAAGUCACUCAACGUAGCUUUAAUCCAAAGCAAUUGUGCACAACAACUACCGGCACUAAUGUAUUCGGCCUCGGCGGUUGAUAGUGCAACACUAUUUUGUUUCUUUGAUGACCAUGAAACUAGAGAUCUUCGUAGCAAUUGACAAGUGCCACUUGUGCUCAUUCUAUCAAUCUUGCAUCCACCAUAGUCGGAGUCCGAAUAUCCAAUCAAUUCAAAGUUAGACCCCUUGGGAUACCAUAAUCCAACAUCAUGAGUGCCUUUAAGAUACCUCAAUAUCCUCUUGGUUGCCUUCAAGUGACUCUCUCUAGGUGAAGCUUGGUAUCUUGCACACUUGCACACACUAAACAUCACAUCCGGCCUUGAUGCGGUGACAUAGAGCAAACUUCCAAUCAUAGACCGAUAUAGCUUUUGGUCUACCAUGUUGCCACUUGCAUCACUACCUAGUUGAUCAUUUGUGCCCAUAGGUGUGCUCAUUGGUUUAGCUUCUUGUAAUCCAAACUUCUUGAUCAUGUCCUUGAUGUACUUGCCUUGACUCACAAAAGUGCCAUUUUUCAUUUGCUUGAUUUGAAGACCAAGGAAGUAACUAAGCUCUCCAAUCAUGGACAUCUCAAACUCAUUUGCCAUCAUUCUUCCAAACUCUUCACAAAAGUCUUGAUUGGUUGAACCAAAGAUGAUAUCAUCAACAUAGAUUUGCAACACAAACAAGUCAUUGCCUAGCUUCUUGGUGAAGAGAGUAGUGUCAACGUUUCCCAUCUUGAACCCUUUAGAGAGAAGGAAAUCUCUCAAUCUCUCAUACCAUGCUCUAGGUGCUUGCUUCAAACCAUACAAUGCCUUCUUGAGCUUGUACACAUGGUUGGGUUUCUUGUCAUCUUCAAAACCGGGAGGUUGUUCAACAGAAACCAACUCAUUGAUGUAUCCAUUGAGAAAUGCACUCUUCACAUCCAUUUGAUAGAGCUUGAUGUUGUGGGCACAAGCAUAGGCUAAUAAUAUUCUAAUUGCCUCCAAUCUUGCAACCGGUGCAUAUGUCUCACCAAAGUCAAGACCUUCUACUUGAGUGUAGCCUUGUGCUACUAAUCUUGCUUUGUUUCUCACAACCACACCAUCUUGAUCUUGCUUGUUUCUAAAGACCCACUUGGUACCAAUCACAUUGUAGUUCUUUGGCCUCUCAACAAGCUCCCACACUUGGUUUCUUGUGAAGUUAUUCAAUUCUUCAUGCAUGGCAUUUACCCAAUCGGAAUCUCUCAAUGCGUCUUCUAUUCUCUUUGGUUCUUCAAAUGAGACAAAUGAAUAGUGCUCACAAAAGGAUGCUAGCCUUGAUCUUGUUUGUACACCACAUUGAAUUCCUCCAAUGACUUGAUCCAAUGGAUGAUCCCCUGCUAUGCUUGUAGGUUGGAGUAUUGGAAGUUGAUUGCUUCCACUUGCUUGAUUUUGAUUUUGAUCAUCACCAUGAGAGCCACUAGUACUUGCUUGAUUUGUGUCAAUUUGCACUUCUUGAUUGAUCAUGUGAAUGUCAUUAUCAUCAUCAACUUGCAUUGGCCGUAUGUCACCAACAUCCAUGCUCUUCAUUGCAUUUGCCAAUUGAUCUCCUCUCACAUCAUCAAGAUUUUGAGCUUCACUUUGAGAUCCCUCGGUUUCAUCAAACUCAACAUCAUGGACUUCUUCCAAUGUGCCACUUGCCAAGUUCCAAACUCUAUAUGCCUUGCUUGUGGUGGAAUAACCAAGUAAGAACCCUUCAUCACAUUUCUUCUCAAACUUGCUCAAUCUAGUGCCUUUCUUGAGAAUGUAGCAUUUGCAACCAAACACUCUAAAAUAUGCAAUGUUGGGCUUUCUUCCAUUCAAUAGCUCAUAUGGUGUCUUCCCAAGCUUCCCAUGGCAAUAGAGACGGUUUCUACAAUAGCAAGCCGUGUUGAUGGCUUCACUCCAAAAAGAAUGGCUAACAUUGUACUCACUAAGCAUGGAUCUAGCCAUAUCAAUCAAGGUUCUAUUCUUCCUUUCAACUACACCAUUGGAUUGAGGAGUGUAUGUUGGAGAGAAUUGAUGUCCAAUGCCAAGAUCAUCACACAAUUCCUCAAUUCUUGUGUUCUUGAAUUCACUACCAUUGUCACUUCUAAUCUUCUUGAUAGUGGUUUCAAACUCAUUUUGCACCCUCUUGACAAAAGACUUGAAUAGAUCACAAACAUCACUCUUGUCAUAGAGGAAGAACACCCAAGUAUAUCUAGUGUAGUCAUCAACUAUCACAAAUCCAUACUUGUUGCCACCAAUGCUAGUGUAUGUUGUUGGCCCAAAUAAAUCCAUGUGCAAUAGCUCAAAUACCUUUGAUGUGCUCAUUUCAUUUUUCUUAGGAUGUGCAUUUCCAACUUGCUUUCCGGCUUGACAAGCACUACAUGGUUUAUCCUUCUCAAAGGUGACAUCUUUCAAGCCUCUAACUAAGUCAUGCCUUAAUAGUUUGUUCAAUUGUUUCAUUCCAACAUGACCAAGCCUUCUAUGCCACAACCAACCCAAACUUGAUUUGCUAAUUAGGCAUGAUGUCAAUUGAGUGUCACUAUCAUUGAAAUCAACCAAGUAUAAGCUACCAUGCCUAAAUCCUUUGAAUAUCAAGUUUGAUCCAUCAAUACUAACAACCUCAACAUCAUCACUUCCAAAGAUGCACUUGAAACCAAGGUCACAAAGUUGUGCAAUUGAUAAGAGAUUGAAGUCAAGGCUUUCAACUAGCAACACAUUUGAUAUGCUCAUGUCAUUUGAGAUAGCAAUUUUACCAAGCCCCUUGACCUUGCCUUUCUUGUUGUUGCCGAAGGUAAUUGAAUCAAAGCCACCUUUUUGACUAGUAUCAAUUGAUUUGAACAUACAAGACUCCCCGGUCAUAUGUUGAGUGCACCCACUAUCAAGCACCCAAUGCCUUCCUCCGGCUUUGUAAUUGACCUACAAGACAAGAUCAAUUCUUUUUAGGUACCCAAACUUGAUUGGGUCCUCCAAGGUUAGCAACUAAGCUCUUUGGUACCCAAAUGGCUUUCUUCUUUGAGCCCAUCCAUGGUGCACCAAUGAACUUAGCAUGAACACCUUUUGUAUCCUUGGUAAGUACAUAGAAAGAAUUAAGCUUAAUUGAGGAUACAUGAGCUUUGGGUUUCUUGUUCAUGCAUUGUUGCUCUAAGUGACCAACUUGCUUGCAAGCUUUGCAAUACCGGCCAUUGUUCUUCACAAAAGUAGUCUUGUGAGGAGCAUAGGCGGCUUUGCCUUUCUUGGGGUUAUAGCCCAAUCCCUCUUUGUAGAGAGAAGCUCUUUGGCUACCCAAGCACAUAAGCAAGCGGUCCUCACCACCAUAAGCCUUGGCUAAGGUGUGAUUGAGCUCUUUCACCUCCUUCUUGAGAAUUUCAUUCUCAACUUUUAGUGUGGUGUCACAAGUGAAACCAUCACUACUAGAUGAGGAUGAUGUAGAUGUGCUACAUGAAGGGUUAGUAGAAGCAAUAACAAUAGGCUUACUCAAGAUAUCACAUGUUAUGCCUAUGUUGCAAGUUUGAGCUUUUUCAAUUUUAGUUGGCUCAUUUUUACACUUGUUAACUAGAGAGGAAUGAGCUUCUUCAAGCUUAGUGUGAGCCUUUUGAAGCUUCUUAUGGUCUUCCUUUAGACUCUCAUAAGAUGCUCUAAGCUCAUCAAGUUCUUGCUCAAGGGUUUUCUUAUCCUUAAGCAAGGCCUUGCACUCCUUUCUAGUUUCUUUAUAGUGAUGAGUGCAAUCUUCUAGCAUAGUGAUUAGUUCAUCUUUAGUUGGUUCAUCAUCAUCACUAUCACUAUCACUAUCAUGGUCACUCUCAUCAUCGGAUGAUACCUUAGUGGCCUUAGCCAUGAAGCAUGACGGAGUGUCGAAGAUGGAGCUUUUUCCUUGAAUUGCAAUGCUAGCAUGCGCCUUCUUCUUGGUGCUCUCAUCAUCACUUGAGGAGUCAUCACUAUCCCAAGUUGCAACAUGGGCAUCACCCUUCUUCUUGUUUGAGCCUUCCUUCUUUUCUUGCUUCUUCUUUUGCUUCUUUAUUUCCUUCUUGAUAGCAUCUUCAUCAUCACUAUCAUAAGAACACUUGGCGAUGAGAUGAUCCUUGCUAUGGCAUCUAAAGCACCUCAUGGAGUGGUCAUUCUUCUUGGAGGAGCUCUUCUUCCUUCUUGCCCGAUAGCCCUUCUUCUUCAUAAACUUGCCAAAUCUCUUGACAAGAAGAGCCAUCUCCUCAUCUUCAUCACUAUCACAAGAGCUUGCUUCUUCUUCACUUGAUGACUCUUGCUUGGCUUUGCCCUUGGAUGUGGAGGCCUAAUGCCACACUUUUCUUCUUCUCAUCAUCUUUCUUCUCACCAUCCUUCUUCUUCUUGAUCAACUCAUCCUUCUCAUCAUCUUCUCUAUAAGCAUCAUCGGGCAUCACUUCUUGGAAGACUUGUUGGGGAGUUGAUUCACUAAGUGUUGUCUUGACUAGCACGGUGAUCAAAGUGUCAAAUAUCUUGGGCAAGCUUCUCAAGAACUUCAUAGAGAAUUGACUAUCCUUUACUUCUUCCCCAAGUGCCUUGAGCUCAUUCACAAUAACUUGCAACCGGUGAAACAUCUCCGGCACACUUUGGUCGUCUUGCAUCUUGAAGCUUGAGAACUUCUCUUGGAGGAUGUAAGCUUUUGCGGUCUUGGAGCAAGUGAACCUCGGUAAAAAAUCUUGUGUCAUCUCUUGCCGAGGUAUUUCUUGUAAUUGUGAGUGAUUGGUUGGAUAUAUCUCUACUCUACAACGUUGGUAUAACAAUCACUCUCCACUCCUUUACUUACUUGUUUAUCUUGCUAGUUGUUUAGCUUGUUUAGUUUACUCUUCUUGUUUAGGAGUGUAGCAAGUUUGUAGUUGUGCUUUCUUGUUGUAACUUGUAUUUAGCUUUCUUGCUAGACUUGUGUAGGUGGCUUGCAUAGCUUAGUUGUGCUAGUGCUAGAAUAGCGUCGCCUUUUGUUUUACUAAUCAACUUGUCUAGUUAAAGUUUGUAGAAAUUUUAAAUAGGCUAUUCACCCCCCCUCUAGCCAUUUGGACCUUUCACCCCUCCGCCCCCGCCCUAGUCCAUGACGGUGAUGGCGGCACUAGUGCUGUACGCGAGGAUCAGCGUGCGUGUGUCAGAAACGGCGACACCCGCCAGCCGAAGGCGAGCGUACUCGUCGGUGCACCUAGUCCCUAGUUUGGAACUGCUGUUGUGUUGUUGACAAUGCGUUUGAAUAGGCACCCCAGUCCCCAGUUUGGAACUGCUGUGAUCUCAGACUGGGAUCUCAGACUGGGAUCAGAUUUCAGUUAAUUUCAAUAGGCUAAGGCAAAGUUUAUGUCAUUUUUUGAUAAGCUCUGGCCUCUGACUUCAGUCAAGCACAUGCAUACGCAGUUCUUGAUCUUGUCACUAUAUAUUGUCUCAGAAAAAUACUGCAUUCAUUUUAUCGAGAUUAGGGGAGUAGGAAUGUAGAAUGCUUCGUUCUUAUGUAGGCCUCCUUUUGUAAUGUGCAGAAAAGACAAAGAAAAAACUUAUGAAUUAUGAAUCAAGUUAUUGUAGCAUCCUUUUGGGAUAUAAGCUAUGCUCUAUGCGUUAUCAGCCUGCUUCGCUUGAGGAGCAAGAGAGGUGCAUGUCUGCCGAUGGCCGUAUCAUCUUCGGGCAGCUCUAGAAGUGGCGGUUGCCUCCUCUUUGCGAUUUGCUCCAUGAAAUGCUUGUGGUGUUUGUUGGUCGUUUGAGGUGAAGGAGUGCGAUUGACAUCAUCCAUCGUAGCCAUGAUCGUUGCGUCUCUCCUAGGGUGGUGGGCCUGACAUUGGCAUUAGCUAGUGCUAGGUUCAUGGGCCAGGGAGAGGAGUGGUCGUAGCCACACCUUGGUGGCUUGGGCAUGCCUCGGCAUCCAUGAUACCUGGCUUUACCCCAUGGUGGUGUCGUGGCUUGUGGCUGCCAUGCACUGUCAACAACGGAAGCAAGUCCGUCGUCCAGUGAGAAGCCUUUGUUGUGGCAACCACCAUAGUAGGUGAGCACCCAGGCUUGGUGCUCUUGUUGGCCGGAUGACGAUGAGCAAAGUGUCGAGCUCCUUCAGCUUUGGGUUGACCCACGUGGGAGGCCCCACACUGGCAUACAACUGCAUCACCAUUAGAUUUAGCCUGGAGCAGUGUGCAGCAGCAGAGGGAGUGGCAUUGGUGUCUCUCGUUGGCUUCUCUCGCCACCAGUGUCAUCGUCGAAUUCUGCUGCACCCCUUAACACCCUACGUGAACCGUCCAAGCUCGGUGGACCAUUGUGGGGUGCGUGCGGGGAGGCCGGUGGUCAGUCGCCACGAGAGUAGUAUCAUGGCAGGUCAGCACCCUUAGCCACUGUCAUUGUAGCAGACCUGGGCCACUUGCAAUUCAUGGCAAGGUGGUGAAAGUUGUGGCAGGAUAGGCAACACUGUGGCGACCAACAAGUCACUACUCGGUGCUUGGACAGAUAGUUGAAACACCUGUCAUGAAAGCUCUAUGGGAUCUUCCGAGCCUGCUGGAGCAAUUUUGAAUGAGGCUCAAAUUCAGUAGCUACGGGUCACGUCUCUUAUCAGUGGAGGAUCUCUCGCCACCCAUCCACAUUGGAGGCGGAGACCUAUCCACGGUGACCGAGGCAUCAGCGGGUAGGGACACGCUCAUCCAUAGGCCGAGCAGGCAAGCUGCACACCAGUUGGGGGCAUGGCCGGCUACGUUUCCUCUAGCUUUGUCUAGGUUCCUGCCGCCCUAUGUCCAUUUCGCCACAACAUAGAAACACAAUUGAAUGAGUUUGGGCGCACUGCAGGGUUGUAGUUACAUGCUUCACCAGAUGACGAGCAAUAUCUAGGUAUGUUGUGGGGUCAUCAUCAUCGAAAUCCUCCCCGUUGUGGUCUGCUCAUGGGCAUUGCUUUGUGCACCCUUAUGAGAAGCAACUUGGGUAGAACGGAGCCGUGUCCGGUGAUAGGGAGGAGGAUUUGGGGGAGGUUAGAGUAUCUGGCUGGGGGACGCCAGUGGAGCAGUGGCGGUUGAGCCAUGUGCUUCCUAGCAUUAGGGGACUAUGGAGACCUAGAUCCGACUCCAUGCUCGGCUAUAGGCUAGCCACGGCGGUGGCAUCAGCCAUUGGUGGUGGAGGGGCAUUGGUGGUAGAGGAUGACAUGAAAACAUUGUCUGGUUGGUGAGGCGAGCGCGGCUCCGUAGCCAGACAAGGAUGCGACGAUGUGGCCUAUCAUUGAUGAGGCAUGAGCGGAGCCGUGGCCAAACAAAGAUGCGAUGGUGCGGGCUUCAGCAGGUGUGGUUGCCAUCAUCGGACAGUUGGCGGCGCAAACUACGACUGGCAAGGCAGACACAGAGCCUCAGCCGGAUGAUGGUUCCACACGCGGGACAGGAGGGGAGGGGCAGACGACGGAGUAGAUGGAGGAGAGCAGGAGGGAGUUGUUUGAGAUGGCGGCGGUGCAGUGGCCGCCAGGGGCUAGGGUUUCAUUGUGGUGUCUAGAGUUUCUGCGGUCUCCAAAGAUAACAACUCCAUGAGUAUGACUAAAACCAAUAGCCAAAUUGCUUAAUUUGGCCAUUAUGUAAAAUAAAAAAACUCUCCAAAAAGAAAUGGUCGACAAAAGACUAGCUAUUUUUUGUCUAUUACGUUGAAAAGUUGCCACGUCAUGUACCUGUCAUCCAAUCCCAACCACCGCUCAGACCUAUUCUUGGCACGUUAUUAAAUAGGAACGGACUCAACUCCCUCGGCGUCGUCCUGGCAGCUUUGGGUGACUGCGUGAGUGAAGGACCGAAAAUGGCGAGGGGGUGAAUGGGAGCCUCAAAUUUCUUUCGAAAUAUUUAGCCGCUGUCCCAAAUUCACCACCAAACACGAGCACGUUCUAAAACUGAAAUACUCAAGCCAACUAGUGACAAGAGUAUCUAGAAAAAUUCUUUAGAACAGUAGGAAGCUAAUGCAACAUACGGAACACGAAUCGGAGUACAAACAACCAAACUACUAGCGAAACAGAAAAUCAAAGUCUGAAAAAUUAUCCAGAAAAUACCCUGAAAAAUUAGGCAAGAAAGACACAGAGUAACACAAAACUGACUACAGAAAACAAUCACAGAACAAGGAUGACCAUGUCGGCGGGGAGUAAUUCCUGCUACAAGCAAAGCACGCAAAAAGCUGAUGAGCUUCAAAGCACUUUGGCCAAACGGAGAGCAAAGACAAGCUUUGAGAGAGAAUUUUUUUAAAAAAACUAAACACUACUGUCUGAUUGAGACAUCUCCAAAAACCAAGAAAACAGAAUAGGAGAGAAGCUACUCCUGCUUGACCUCUACGAUGAAACUAACAGGAAGCAAAACAAAAACUGCUCAGGCCAGACUUGGACACGGCACCGAGGGAAGUUCUGAACAUAGGUAGUAAACAAACACGAACAGGAAGGAGGCGAACUGCUAAUUGAAAAUCUGUACUCACUGGUGGAGACCGGUGUCAAGACUGGUGACUUAGAUUUAAGCCUGGUGCUCCACGAACUGCACCCAGAAAGCAGCCGCCUGAAUCAAAUCCCAACUACAGGGCACAAAGCACUAGGCAUUUAUAGUGCUGUUCCUGUAUCCCAUCCUUGAACACGAACAAACAAAACUGCUCCAAAGCAAGAACAGAGAAUGGAAGAACGAGCAGAGGGGUUGCUCCCUGCUGGACAGAGCUCGUGACCCAAAGGAUGCUGCUGGUCUGCACGCAGCACACACUCAAGCACUAGCCAACAGCACACACUUAAGCACCUGCCAUCAAACCCCCUACAGAAACGUCACACGAACACAAGAACAGGACUGCUACUCACGAACAGAAAAAGAAGCAACCACAAAAUCGAAUAGAACUCAGUCAAAACAAAAAGAAUCACUCCCAAACUUUGCACAGAUAAAAUUCGACCUAGCACGAACUCAUCCCCAAGAAAUCAUUGUUUGGGAUUAACCCAAACUCCGGGAAAAUCAGAUCGUAGCCAAAAACGAAAAAGGAGAAAAACAAAAAACUUAGUGGACGAAAAUCACAAGCACAAGUGAUUGAAUCCCGGAGGACAACUGGAGGAUUUGGGCCUCCAUUCUCAACUCGAAAACCAGUACAAAACACUCCUAAAAAUUUCAGUUCAUAGCCUACUCUACUAAACAAAACCAAAACCAGGAAGAGAGAGGAGGAAAGAGAUGGAGAUGGAAAAGAGAGGUGGGAGAGAGAUGGGAGAAUUGGGGACUCUCCCGAUUUAUUUAUCAGGCAUAUUACAUAUUUCCUAAAUGCCUCUAGAUAUUUUUUGAGCGAACUAGCUAGCCCUAGGGGCAUUCUAGUCCAACUCGACAUGACCUAAAUCCGACGGCCACCGCGCCUUUUCACCGGUAGCCUCGCUCCGAAGCGAUCUCACCGAUGCCGCCACGUGCCAUCCGUCCGCAUCGGGACCUCCGCCCGGGUUUUGACGCCCAACCCCGCGAAACCCGCCGCGAGUAGCGUACUCCAUACGCUUCCCCGCCACUCGACACGUGUCACCGCCGUCCUCGACCGGCCAGCCCGCUAAGUCCUCCUGAGCCUCGCUCGACUCGCGUCCGCCGUCUUGACUUGGUCAACACGGUCACUUCCAUGUACACUUGCACUUGUCGAUGUCCCAGAUGUCAGCCACUACGGUUGGUCACCCGGCCUCCUGGUCCGUCAGUCCAAGCCUCACGUUCGUCCUUCACCGCUCCAGGUCCAUCAGCACGGCACGUCUCUACUUGACCUUCACCUCGCCGUCGACCACCGCCUCCGAGCUCCACAGCUGAACACCACAAGCCAAGAGACAUGUCGCACACAUAGCUUUCGCCAUGUUAAUGUUAGUUACCAACUCAACCUAUUUAUGGAUCACGUUGACAAUCACUCAUCACAAAACGUACCACAAGAGUACUUCUCGACCUUGUGUUCGCAGUGAGUAGGGACUCCCGCGGCGUCCUGGCCCCGACAACCGAAAAAUUGUGUAUGUACUGUGUAGGCAAUCGGCGUUCGAACAGAGGGAAUGGUUCAUCGCUUCAUCUGCAUAUUUCAGACAACCUGGCAACCUGCAGUGGGGAUCCAUUGUCUACGUGGAAUGUGACAGUAUACUGUGUCAAAAGAAAAGCCCCACCAUCAGGCCACACUGUUCACUGGAGUUCCCAGGCAACCAAACAAUGAUGAAGAUGAGAAAAUUACAUUAAGAGCCGCAGGAGUAAUCAUUAAUUAAUCCCAGAACAUAUAGAAGUACAAAAGCAAAGUACAUUAACCGUUCCAAAUUACAAACAGUAUAGUUCCAAAUUGCAAAGAGUACAAGUUUAUUUGUUCUCAGCACACCAGUUCAUAACUUCAUACACACAAAGCUUGGUUUUGUGGCAACCCGAAAUCACCAAUUAUUACAACACUUACAAAUUAAACCCAAACAGAUUGAGCAAACCAGCACAAUGACAACAUGUCCCUCAGCGAACAUUACCAGACGAAAAAUAAUACUCGGUCAUAAAAAACAGGUUAGAAAAACACUGUGAUGGAUAAAUGGAGAGGCCAACUGAGUUGUGUGCUUGACGCAGAGCUUUGUAUCUGAAACCAAACUGAUCACCUGAGGUAGCUUUCAAUGAUAUGUUUCUUGCGUGAUACAAACUCUGGUGGCGCCACAUGCAAGUAGUAGUAACUCUGCUCUGGUAGCUUCAACUGCAACCUGUUCCACCACUCACGCUCUCCGUUGACUCUCACCUUGUACUUUGGAUAUUUCUUCUUCAGGAAUGGGAGAUGGCGAAAGGAUUGGCAACCCCGGACAAAGAGCUUCUCCCACUUUGGCGUUUCAAACUGAAAUUUAACAAGAUCAUGGAUGUGCAGCAGUUGUGGAAGCUCCUGGAGGUAGAUGCUUUUGAUGUUUGGGAGUGGAGAAAGUUGUACCGCAUAAUAAGGUCCACAGUAGAAAAUUGUCUUCAGGUUGGAGCAGAAGAGAAUGACCAGAGUCUCCAACGCAGGUAACGACAUUGAAUAUGGGAAAAGUUUCUCCAAUCGGGGACAGUGCUCAAGGUGAAUGUGUUUUAGUAGCUUCAAAGUGACAGAGUCAUAGCGAGUUCUCCAAUCCCGCACAGGCUCAACAAUGCAUAGUAGGUUCUUAAGGCAGGAGGCCUGCAGUAUCCUUAGGGAUUCUAAUACCUCUGUGACCGGUGGUCUCAUUCUGAAUACAACAGUCAUUUGAUUGCAGUCAAGGAGCAGGCAUUCUUCUAGUGUCAUGAGACUAUUACUGAGGUCAGUAAGGCAACUGACGAAAUUAUCAUCUGUAAUGAAUAUUGAGUUUGUCACAGAAAGAAUAUGCCUUAAGCCAUUCGGGUACUGAUUCACUGCAGAUAUCUCAACAUGACGUUGUUUUGGCUGAAGCUUCAUCAUAGACACAACACUAGCAGGCUUAGAAUACUGGACAUCAUGAUAAGUUGAAUUCUUCUGGAUCAUGGUAGAUAACUCAGCUUCAUUGUUCUGUGGCUUCUUUCCUGUCACAUUGCAUGGUUUAACUUGGACAUUGAAUGACUGUAGAAACUGUCCUUCCUUGACUAACCUUUUAGAAGCAUCUUCAUUGAAGCUAUGGAACCUCUUUCUGCUGAUUUUCAUCUCCACAAGUUUUCUUCUGGUAAAACAUCUGCUGAAUUUGACUAUCAUCGUUUGCACAGUGAUCCAAAUAGAAAACUUUAGGAAACCGGACCAACUGAUGCCAUGGGAAUCUCCUGAAACAUGGGACGCCAACAAGAAGUAACAUUUUGAGUUGUGGUAGGUUUGGGAGGUUGUGAGGGAGCUCCUCAAUGGCUGUUCCAGAAAGAUCAACAUCCUCCAAUGCUCUAACAUCAUCACCAAAGUUCACAGAUUUGAGCUUGCUACACCCAGACAAGGACAGGCACCUAACCCAUGGUCUGGAGAGUGAGAAGGUUCUCAGAUUAGGAUGCCCAAGGAUCUUGAUAUCUUCCAAUGCUUCCCAUGUUUGUAUAUAAAGGUUUUCAAGGAAUGGUAAUAGUUCCCAAAGAAUCUGAAGUGUUAGCCUAAUGCAGUUAGAGAUAUGUAGCUCUUUGAGGCAUUUGGCUUUGGACAGUGAUGAUGGGAGUGACCUUAGGCUAAUGGAGUUACUAAGAUGUAGCACUUCAAGGCUGUUGGCUUCAGACAGGGACAUCGGUAGUGAUAUCAAUACCAUGUUAUUGAUUAGCUUCAGUGUAUGCAGGCUUUGCAUGUUUUGGAACAUGUGAUCUGGAAAAGCUGUAAUCUGAGUCCCCUCGACAUGAAGAACUAAUAGAUUUGACAGUUGAGCCAUGGAAAGAGGUAACUCUCUGAGAUUGGUGCAAUUACCGAAAAUGAGCUCCUCGAGGCUUGACAUUUCGCAGAAGAAUUCAGAAGGCAGGGUGGAAAACUUUGAGCCUGAUAGGUCAAGGUAGUGCAGAUUUCUCUUGUUGCUGCCAUCUUGUUGUAUUAGCUCAAUCAAGGGAACUCCAUUCAUAUCUAAGACUGCAAGGUUCUCGAGAUGAGCAAGUGGUGAUGAUUGUUUUUCAGAAUUAGGUGGUAUUGGAGACAAGAUCUUUAGCUGAGAACAGCCUCUGAGCGAGAGCAAGUAGAGAUUGAGUACAUUGGAAAAUGAAAGAGGAAGUGAAUUUAUAGGGGUGUAGGACAAAUCAAGGACAUGGAGGUGUGGGGUGAGAAGUUUAUCAAGACGAAAUGCUGACAUAUCUGAACAGCCUCUCAGAAUCAGGGUUGUCAUCUUUAUAUCUCCUCUUGUUUCCCUCGGCCAACAAUUCCAGCUUACAUGCCUACCAUCAUCAUUCAAAAAUGAGACCCAUCUUGGUUGCUCUUCUUCACAUGAGUAUUGAGUUCAUCUUGUCUGAGACGUGGGACAGUGCCAGCUAACUUUGACACACCAGUGUUGACAUCUAUUGGGGAUGAAUUGCUUACUGUUGAGGUGGAAACUGAGUAUAUUGGAAGUAAUGAAU